Molecule: long non-coding RNA, 1578 nt
Organism: Spinacia oleracea (spinach)
Lineage: Eukaryota; Viridiplantae; Streptophyta; Magnoliopsida; Caryophyllales; Amaranthaceae
Exons: 5
Source: RefSeq, a predicted model, not a curated record
UUUUUCAUUUCCCGCUUCCAGUCCUUCCCCUUCUCUUGUUCUCUACUUCUCCUUCAUUUUGUUUUCAUUUUCCACUUCUCCUCCCAUUCUCUGGUUCUAUACUUCUAUGCUCCUUCCCUUUCUUUGGUUUCUAACAAGGCUGUUGUUCCCCCACCGCCGUGGCGCCGUCGAACCUGCCUCCUCACGAUCUGGUAAUCUCCUUAACCCACUUCAUUAUUUAGAUUGAAUUACAUUAAAAUCCCCAAUAGGGCAAACCCUAGCAAUUUCAAUUGAUUUUCUCCCUUCUUUUGUUGUUGUACGACGAGAACUCCACCGCCGAAGUCGUUGUUGACAUGGUGGUGCUAUUCUUUUGCUGGUUUUGGUUGUCGGUCUCCCUUGCUCCUCUCCUCGUCCUUAUCUCUUUGCUCCCCUGAGCCACUGCAACCCUGUCACCCUAUCCUCGGCCACCGUUUUCGAUCUGUUCCUCUAACGCCGUUUCCCGUUGAGCUUGCUAUGAGUGACUGUCAAUUUUUCAGCGAGUCACUAAGCACUUUUCUCUAAUACCUCUUCUUGAUUUUGCUGAUUUAGAUUGAUGUGCAUUGUUAGAGUAUAAAGUUAUUUGUUAGGGAAUUAUUUAACAGUGGGGAUGAGUAUGAAAGUCAAGUGUUGAAAAAAAAUUGGACAGAAAUUCCAUCAUAUUGUAAACUAUACUCAUUUAACAAGCUUUUGUGUCUUUGUAUUCAAAAUUAUUGUUAUGGCUGAAUUGUGAUGGAAGCUAUGUUUUGAAGCUCCUGUAAUUAGUUUGUGUUGACUGUGUAAUGGCCCAAGCAUUAGUUGUUGAGCAUUGUUUAUGAUUUGAUGUGGAUGUAUAGAAGAAGAUUUUUGUGUCUCAGAUUGAUGUUUCAUUCUCGUUUUGUAUGUUUUGCAAGUUGUUAUCUGCCUCUAUUUUCUGUCUGUUCUGGGAAGGAUCGUCUCAGGGGUGACAAUUGGUUAUGCUGGUUUCGAUGCCUAGAAUGAUGGACAUUGUCCUCAAUCUUGGUCUGGAUGAUGAAUUGGUUGUAGGCCUAGCAGCAAAAAGCAGAGAACGCUUUUCCUAUCACUCAUUUAGCCAGCUAUUCCAUGAUAUAUGUACACAAGUUGAUGCAGGAAGCUGUCUAUUGGAUUUAUGGGGCAUGGACUGUCGUUACUUUGCUUGAACUAUGCCAAGUCUCCAGGAGUUGCAUCUGUAAGAUUGGGUUGAGCUUGAGUUCUUUCGGUCAAGUUGGGUAUUUACUCAAUAUAAAACUGCUGCAUACUGCUCUGCACUCUGAUUUGAACUGUUGCUGCUGCUGUUGUGCGUCACUUAUGCGUCACCAAUAUUGGUGCUUCUUUCAUUGAUGAUGUAUGUCUCAGAUCAGCAGGUAUUCAACAAUCCGGGGGAGCAGCCUUUCACCACCGUGGGGGAUAAAUGAAGUUCGAGACAAGUUGACAAACUUCAUUACUAGUGAUUAUCUUUGAUAUUUUCUUGUAAUGAAUCUUAGAUUAUGGAUGCUAGUUUUUCAUAUGAUUGAAAUGUAAUCUACUUUUAGAGUUACAAUUAUAUACUAUUUAAUUUAAUUA